GCGUGUAGGAUGAAGGUCUUCGGAUUGUAAACUACUUUUUCCAUGGGACGAAGCUUCGGCUGACGGUACCAUGGGAAUAAGAGGUUGCUAACUCUGUGCCAGCAGCAGCGGUAAUACAGAGACCUCAAGCGUUAUCCGGAUUUAUUGGGCGUAAAGCGUGCGCCGGCUGUUCGUUAAGUCUCUCGUCAAAUCUCUGGGCUCAACCCAGGGGGCUGCGGGGGAUACUGGCGAACUCGAGGAUGGGGAGAGGCAAGCGGAAUUACCGGUGUAGUAGUAAAAAUGCGUUAAUAUCGGUAAGAACACCAAAGGCGAAGGCAGCUUGCUGGAACAUUCCUGACGCUCAAGCACGAAAGCGUGGGGAGCGAAGCGGAUUAGAUACCCGCGUAGUCCACGCCCUAAACGAUGGAUGCUGGAUUUUGGGAGUAUCGACCCUCCCAGAGUCGUCAAAACAAGCUAACGCGUUAAGCAUCCCGCCUGGGGAGUACGGUCGCAAGACUA
Molecule: ribosomal RNA, 498 nt
Filed under: uncultured bacterium
Lineage: Bacteria
Description: bacterial SSU rRNA
Rfam family: Bacterial small subunit ribosomal RNA
Source: RNAcentral